GAUGAAGAACGUAGCGAAAUGCGAUAAGUAAUGUGAAUUGCAGAAUUCAGUGAAUCAUCGAAUCUUUGAACGCACAUUGCGCCCGCCAGUAUUCUGGCGGGCAUGCCUGUUCGAGCGUCAUUACAACCCUCAGGCCCCCGGGCCUGGCGUUGGGGAUCGGCGGAAGCCCCCUGUGGGCACACGCCGUCCCUCAAAUACAGUGGCGGUCCCGCCGCAGCUUCCAUUGCGUAGUAGCUAACACCUCGCAACUGGAGAGCGGCGCGGCCAUGCCGUAAAACACCCAACUUCUGAAUGUUGACCUCGAAUCAGGUAGGAAUACCCGCUGAACUUAAGCAUAUCAAUAAGCGGAAGA
RNAcentral lists this unclassified non-coding RNA (352 nucleotides) under soil metagenome. RNAcentral's name for it is "partial contains 5.8S ribosomal RNA, internal transcribed spacer 2, and large subunit ribosomal RNA". The stretch from base 1 to 120 matches the Rfam family "5.8S ribosomal RNA", at positions 35 to 154 of the family's 154-position model. The record is from RNAcentral.